GUCGUGUCUCGGCCUUUUGGCUAUGAUCAUGUGUAAUAUCUGUUCUUAUCAGUUUAAAAUUUCUUCAAUCAAAAUAUCAAGGCUAGAACCCAGCUACAUAGCUUUAAUCCCUU
This is a non-coding RNA of Myotis lucifugus (little brown bat), 113 nucleotides long. The record is from Rfam. Lineage: Eukaryota; Metazoa; Chordata; Mammalia; Chiroptera; Vespertilionidae.